Molecule: non-coding RNA, 333 nt
Organism: Pelobates cultripes (western spadefoot toad)
Lineage: Eukaryota; Metazoa; Chordata; Amphibia; Anura; Pelobatidae
Source: the annotation of a GenBank genome assembly
CCCAAAAGAUUACUUUAAAGAUAAGAUCAUACCAAAGAUUUCGGAAUCUCAACUGAAGGAACUGAAUGCCCCCAAUUUCUCUACUUGAAAUACACACAAGGAUAGAGACACUGCGACCUAAUAAAGGGCCAGGCCCAGGCGGGUUUCCCGGGAUUUUUUAUAGAUUAUUUAGGGAUGAAAUAUCACCACACUUAUAGACUACUUUUAAUGAAUUUAUAUUAAAAACUAAAAUCCCGCAGGAAAUUCUUAAGGGUAAUAUUGUCCCAAUAUUAAAAUCAGGUAAGAACCCAGAAAAAGUAGACAGUUACCGGCCGAUCUCUCUGUUAAAUGAAG